This 5850-nucleotide long non-coding RNA is filed under the name Solanum tuberosum (potato). RNAcentral describes it as "long non-coding RNA (STUB_LNC011659)". The record is from RNAcentral. Lineage: Eukaryota; Viridiplantae; Streptophyta; Magnoliopsida; Solanales; Solanaceae.
AAGUAUUGGAAAGGCCUCAUUACCACUUUCUCAAUCUUGUCACGUAUAACUCAUCACCAAACAUUCAAAAAAAUGGUACGAUAACUAACAUGGAAAUAAUGAUGUUCUCUAAAUUAUUGUCCACGUCACUUCCUUACUUCUAUAACACAAAUCUUCUCAUAGAUAAUUCCCGGAAACACAAGCAAUUCCACAAAAGAGAAUCUGAUGACUAUCCAUGCAGCUAUUUGUGAAGGCCUUUUAAACCAGCAAGACUAAUCAUUGUCACAAAUAGUAGAAAAUUAAAACAACUUUAUAGGAGACAUGACAUUCCUAAAUGGAUCCAGUGGUGCCUUUUGCCCAUAAAGUCAAUAGAUGUCAUAAGUAAGUGUUAAGCAGAUGGUUAAAUGCACUGUUGUUAGCUAACGGAAUAUAGUCAGUUAAAGUUAACAGAUUACGAGUUAGUUAGAAGUGUCAGUAAUUCAGUUAGGAUAAUUGAUUAUAUAUAGAGGCUAAGUAGAAGUUAUAAAGAAAAACUUUCAACAUCUGUAAUUUCAUUCAAGCAAUUAAUAUACAAUUCUCUUUACAUGCACUGAUCUUUACAUGGUAUCAGAGCUAUAGGGAUCUAGGGAUUUAUCCUCAUGAGAUUUGGAGGUAGAUCGAGAGAUUCACCAUGGCGAUUAAGGAAGAACUGACGGGAAGCACUGAUGGUCAAGUUCAAGGAGAUCUUGUCAACGGAAGCACUAUGGUAAUUGAUCACAAUCACCCCCUAUAUUUGAGUUCUUCUGAUGUUCCUGGAGCUCUUUCUAUUGGAAUUCAGCUAACAGGAAUGGAGAAUUACACCUUGUGGAGUCGAGCUAUGGAGAUUGCAUUGCUUGGACGAAACAAAGUGGGAUUUAUUGAUGGUUCUGUUUUGCGUACUGAUUUCGAUGGUGCUUUGAAGAAGAUUUGGGAUCACUGUAACGAAAUUGUAAUCUCUUGGCUCACCUGUAAUGUGAGCAAGGAUCUACUUAGUGGAAUUUUAUACUCUUCCAGUGCGAAUCAGGUAUGGCUCGAUCUCAAGGAGAGAUUUGAUAAGGUUAAUGGAUCUAGACUCUAUCAACUGCACAUAAACAUUUUCACUCUCACACAAGGGACUCUGCAAGUCUCUUCAUACUACAUGAAAUUGAAGAACCUAUGGGAAUGAGUAUGAUUCAAUUUUACCUCCACCUAGUUGUGAUUGCAAUAAGGCAAAGGACUAUGUUGAACAAAUGCAAUACCAACGAUUGCUUCAAUUUCUCAUGGGCUUAAAUGACAGUUAUUCACAGGCUAGAGGUCAGAUCUUGAUGAUGACCUGCCUUCCCAAUGUGAACUAGGCUUAUGCCUUGAUUAUAUAGGAUGAAAGUCAAAAAGGAAUUGUUGGAUCUGUAUAUGAAGGAAUGGAAUCUUUAGCACUGUAUACUGCUAGAAAAUUUAGGUCACCACAACCUAAUUCUAGGCAGGAUUUUCCUAGGAGGAACUUCCAUUCAUUAUUCUGUGACUUUUGUAAUAUGAAAGGGCAUACUCGAGCUGAAUGUAAUAAACUGAAGAAAUGUGAUCAUUGCAAUGCUAUUGGACAUGUGAAGGAUGAUUCCUUCCAACUCAUUGGCUAUCCAGAAAAUUUCAAAGGCAAGAAGAAGGUAAAUGCAGUAAUAGGAGAUAGUGUUAUGCAGAAACCAAUGCCAUUUAUGCAGGAUCAACUGUCAUGGAAGGCACACACAGUUGUGGGAGAGAAGUCACAUCCUGAUCUAUCUCAGAUGGGAGAACAGCUCACACACAACCAGUUGUUGCAAAUGCUGAACAAAUCCUCACCAGCACAACUUAACCAGAUACUCAAUGUCCUGCAAGGCAACAACAAUAUCAUGAAUACUCAGAAAAGUGCACACAUGGCAGGUAAGCUUAUUUCAUCCUUAAAAUGGAUCAUAGACACUGGUGCUACAGACCAUAUGAUACAUGAUCACACUUACCUACAUUAUGAGAAUAAAGUGGGUAGUAUGGGGAGAGUGCAGUUGCCUACAGGGGAUUCAGCCAUAGUUUCACAUGUUGGGGAUCUUCAACUUAAUGACACUGAUAUGAUCAUAAAUGUUUUAUGCAUACCAGCCUUUGAGUUUAAUCUUAUGUCUGUCAACAAACUGACAAAAGAAUUGAAUUGCUACGUUUCUUUUUUUCCUACACACUGUGUGUUUCAGGAUCUCUUGUCUGGGAAGGUCAAGGGGAUUGGUGAAGUUGAGGAUGGUUUGUAUGUGCUGUUGGAACACCAAGCAAUAUCAAAACAAGAUUAAAUAUUGUCUGCAGUGGGAUCAGGAGAAAGAGAUAUAGAACUAUGGCACAAGAGACUAGGACAUGUUCCUAUGGGAGUACUUAGGAGAAUAAAAGAUUUCAAUACAUGUAGUAACUUUGCUAUUGAACAAUGUAUGGUUUGCCCCCAAGCUAGACAAACUAGAGUUCUAUUUCCUAUGAGUGACUACAGUAAAAGAUGUUUUUGACUUAGUUGACAUGGAUGUAUGGGGUCCAUAUAAGGUGGCUACUCAUAAUGGGAUGAAAUACUUUCUUACUUUAGUUGAUGAUAAAUCUAGAUGGACAUAGACUUUUUUGAUUGCUUUGAAGUCUGAUGUAAUUGUUGUUUUGAGACAGUUCUUGAUAAUGGUAAUGACUCAGUUUGGGAAAAGUGUUAAAGUUUUCAGGUCUGAUAAUAGAGGGGAAUUUGUUAAUACUAACUUUCAUGAUUUAUUUGUUCAACAUGGAAUUAUUCACCAAAGAUCAUGUCCACAUUCUCCACAACAAAAUGGGGUUGUGGAGAGGAAAUAUAGACACAUGCUAGAGACUACCAGAGCUAUCAAAAUUCAGGGCCAUCUACCACAUAGAUUUUGGGGUGAACGUGUGGAAGCUGCAACAUAUAUCAUCAACAGGAUACCUUUGUCUGUAUUAGGGAACAAGUCACCUUAUGAGAUCAUGCCCAUAUCAGAGUAGUAGGAUGUCUGGCAUUUGCUACAAACCUAAGGAGAGAUGAUAAGUUUGCUCCAAAAGCUAGAAAAGCAGUCUUUCUAGGGUAUGCUGUCAAUCAAAACGGGUACAAAUUAUUGAACAUUGAGUCCAAAGUCAUAUUUGUUAGCAGAGAUGUCCUUUUUCAUGAGACUGAAUUUCCCUUUCAGUACUCAGGUCUGAGUGAAGAUGGUGUUCAUGAGCCCUCUGUAUAUUUUUCACAUGAAGGAGAUUCUGAACAGACACCCUGUGUUGUCUUCAGGAGUGCAGUGCCUGCUAAUGUUUCUAAAUGUACAAAUUCUUUAUUAUGCACUGAUGAUAAGCACAAUAAUGAGCAUAGUGUUCUUGAUUAACAUGUGAACACUGCAGAUGUUGGAGUUUUUCCAGAAGCUCCAGUAUCCCCUCAUGUUCCCAUCAAUGUUUCUGAUAAUAAUAAUCUCAUCCCACAGGAUGCCACCAGGAGGUCUAACAGACCUGCUAAGUAGGGGUGUGCAUUCGAUUUUUCUAUUUGGUUUUGCACUAUUCUAUUUGAAUUUUUCAAUUUUUGGUUUUGUAAAAGUGUAACCCAGUCCGAUCCAAAAUAAAUUUGGUUUGAUUUGGUUUUCCUCUAUUCGGUUCGGCUUUUUUCGGUUUGGUUAUUCGGUUAUGUCAAUAAUUAAUUACAUAACCAAAGUAAUAAUAUUUAAUCUCUUAAAUAUACUUUCUAAUAUAAAUCAUAAGUAAAACUUAAAACACAAUACUUAUAAGUAUACCUAUUAUAGAUGUAAUUCAAACAUAAAAUAUAGUAAUUUAUUACUCCAAAACCAAUCCGAAAAACCAAAAAACCAAUCCAAAUAAAAUUUCGGUUUGAUUUGGUUUGGUUAUUCGGUUUAAUCCAAAUAGUGCACACCCCUACUGCUAAGCCUCCAAUCUGGCAUACUGAUUAUGUGUUGACACAGAAAAAAGCAGUUGUCUCUUAUUUCAUAUGUGACAUACUUGACUAUCACAGCAUCUCAUCAACUUAUAAGAGUUUUGUGACUAAGUUUUCUCAAGAAAGGGAACCAACUUCAUAUCAGGAAGCAAUGCAUGAUCCUAGGUAGGUUGCAGCCAUGCAGAGUGAGAUCCAAGCACUGGAAGAUAACCAUACAUGGAGGAUUGUUCAAUUGCCAAAAGACAAGAAGGCAAUAGGAUGCAAGUGGGUAUACAAAAUCAAAUACAAGGCUGAUGGUGAGGUUGAUAGGUUCAAGGCUAGGUUGGUAGCCAAGGGUUACAACCAAAAAGAAGGUCUGGACUAUCAAGAAACAUUCUCUCCUGUUGUGAGAAUGGGCACUGUCAGGGCAGUCAUAGCUUUAGCUGCUACACACAACUGGCCAAUACAACAAAUGGAUGUAUUCAAUGUCUUUCUUCAAGGUGAUUUAUAUGAAGAAGUGUACAUGACUUUGCCACUGAGAUUUGUCCAUAAAGGUGAGCAGGGGAUGGUGUGUAAACUCAUCAAGUCACUUUAUGGACUCAAGCAGGCUAGCAGGCAAUGGAACAUCAAGUUGACUACAACUCUAAUUGAAUCUGGCUUUCAACAGAGUCAUUAUGACUAUUCUCUAUUCACAAAGCACCAGGGAAAGAGCUUAGUAUGUUGAUGAUCUGUUAAUUAUAGGAAAUGAUCACAAAUUAAUAUUGCAGACAAAGGGAAUCCUCAAGGACAAUUUCAAGAUCAAAGACUUAGGUGAUUUGAGGUACUUUCUAGGGAUUGAGUUUGCCAGGAAUAACACUGGAAUCCUUAUGCAUCAAAGGAAGUACUGUCUUGAACUAAUUUCAGACAUGGGGUUAUCUAGCUCAAGGCCUGUUAUAGCUCCUAUUGAGAUAAACCACAAACUCACAACUGCAAAGUUUGAUCUGCAAUUCCCUUCUGAAAAUGGAAAUGACAAGCUGCUAGAUGAUACUGGAGUGUAUAAAAAACUAGUAGGGAGAUUGCUUUACUUAACAAUGACAAGACCAGACAUUGCUUUUGCAGUACAGUUGCUAAGCCAGUUCAUGCACAGUCCAAAGACAUCUCACAUAAAGGCAUCAAUAAGAGUAGUUAGAUAUGUUAAGCAAUCACCAGGUCUAGGCAUACUCAUGUCAUCCAAUGCUACUGAUCAGUUGACCGCAUAUUGUGAUGCAGACUGGGCUGCAUGCCCAAACAAUCGAAGAUCUAUCACAGGGUACAUGGUUACUUAUGGGGAUUCCUUGAUCUCAUGGAAAUCAAAAAAAUAGAACACCAUUUCAUGAAGUUCAGCUGAGUCUGAAUAUAGAAGUAUGGCCUCAAUAGUUGCAGAAACUGUAUGGCUGGUUGGGCUUUUUAAGGAAUUGGGCAUAUAACUGAAGCAGCCUGUGUCAAUUUAUUGUGACAGCAAAUUUGCCAUACAGAUUGAUGUCAAUCCAGUCUUUCACGAGCGUACUAAACAUAUAGAUAUCGAUUUCCACUUCAUUAGAGAAAAAGUUCAGCUAGGCAUGGUUCAACCUACGUACUUGAAGACAAGUGAAUAGCCUGCAGACUUGUUCACCAAAGGACUUACUCAUGUGCAGCAUGGAUACCUGCUUACCAAACUAGGAAUGAAGAAUGUAUUCUACACACCUAGCUUGAGGGAGGAUGUUAAGCAGAUGGUUAAAUGGUUAAAUGCACUGCUAUAAGCUAACGGAUUAUAGUCAGUUAAAGUUAACAGAUUAUGAGUUAGUUAGAAGUGUCAGUAAUUCAGUUAGGAUAAUUGAUUAUAUAUAAAGGCUAAGUAGCAGUUAUAAAGAAAAAUGUUCAGCAUCUGUAAUUUCAUUCAAACAAUCAAUUUACAAUUCUCUUUACAUGUACUGAUCUUUACAGUAAGUACCUUUGAAGAAUUUGGUGCUCGAGGGAAAUCUCCAACA